Rana temporaria (common frog) is the source of this 1034-nucleotide long non-coding RNA. RefSeq lists it as uncharacterized. The transcript is spliced from 6 exons. The record is from RefSeq and is a predicted model, not a curated record. NCBI's taxonomy places the organism in Eukaryota, Metazoa, Chordata, Amphibia, Anura, Ranidae.
UGGCCCCGCCUCUCGGUGACGUUACUUCCUCUCGUAGCCCCGCCUUGCAUGAGCAGUGCUUGGUGUCCAUGUGGUGGAGCGAAGGAAGCCAUGACAUGCGGCGUCCAUGAGCUGGGAUGGCUCAUCAGUGACCUCUGCUGAAGCCACGCAGAGCUGGAAAAUUUGAAUACUGGGAUGGGGCUCAGUUACAGUGAGCUGGUAGCAUGAGCUGAACUUGACAACCUUAUAUCCAGAGAUGACUGGAACAUCUCCUUCAGCUGGUAUGGCUCAUCAGUGGCCCCUGCUGAAGCCACGCAGAGCUGGAAAAUGUGAAUACUGGGAUGGGGCUCAGUUACAGUGAGCUGGUAGCAUGAGCUGAACUUGACAACCUUAUAUCAAGAGAUGACAGGAACAUCUCCAGGAUGCCAGUAUGUAUGGUCAGAGGAUGUUCAACUACAUACAUGAAGUAUCAUAUCAUCAGUCUUGUUCCUGGAUUUCCAACAGAAAAGGAACUUGUAAAGCAGUGGCUUCAGCAAAUGAAGCAAGACUUUGGGGACUUGAAACACCUGGCAGCAAGAAUUGUGAAAGGCCCCCGAGGAACUUUUAGAGUCUGUUCUCUUCACUUGUGAUUCUUAUGAUUUGAGAGGGUCCCAGACAUAUUUAAAAAAGGGGUGCCCUUCCAACUGUAUUUCCAGAAUUUACAUCUCAACAGCCAACAAAGCGUCAAUUUUUAACUGUAGGUCAGACAUCAAGUGCUCCAUUAACAAUUGAAUUGGGUACAACUCAUGCCAUACGGUCAACUUCUAAUGUACAAGAUCAGAAAAAAAAUUAACAAGACUAAUUUUAAAUGGGCCUACUGUGCAAAGUUUUUGAAGACCGACUUCUAGAAUAUAGCUAAAACUGAUGUUAACACCUUUAAAAAUUUUACAUUGUAAGGCUCUAGCCCAGCCUUUUACUGUAGUGAAAAGCCCCAUGCAUGAGAAAUUGAAAAGUAGGUUUUAGGUCAAACUAAGUCAAUGUAUAUAAAUGUUGCCUUGAAAAAGUAAUGCAAGUGA